UACGGAGAAGGCAAGCGUUACCCGGAAUUACUGGGCGUAAAGCGUUGCGUAGGUGGUGGUUUAAGUGGAGUGCGAAAUCUUGUGGCUCAACCAUAAGUUGGUAUUCCAAACUGAAUCACUAGAGGAUAGGAGAGGUGAGUGGAAUUUGAGGUGUAGGAGUGAAAUCCGUAGAUAUCUCAAGGAACACCAAUGGCGAAGGCAGCUCACUGGCCUAUUCCUGACACUGAGGCACGAAAGCGUGGGGAGCGAACCGG
RNAcentral lists this unclassified non-coding RNA (254 nucleotides) under uncultured Patescibacteria group bacterium. RNAcentral describes it as "contains 16S-23S intergenic spacer region". It matches the Rfam family "Bacterial small subunit ribosomal RNA", at positions 524 to 776 of the family's 1533-position model. The record is from RNAcentral.